This 63-nucleotide transfer RNA is filed under the name Tenebrionoidea sp. 2 KM-2017. RNAcentral's name for it is "tRNA-Glu". The record is from RNAcentral. Lineage: Eukaryota; Metazoa; Arthropoda; Insecta; Coleoptera.
AUUUAUAUAGUUUAAUAAAAAACAUUACAUUUUCAAUGUAAAAAUAAAUAAUUUUUGUAAAUA